RNAcentral lists this ribosomal RNA (252 nucleotides) under uncultured bacterium. RNAcentral describes it as "partial 16S ribosomal RNA". It matches the Rfam family "Bacterial small subunit ribosomal RNA", at positions 524 to 776 of the family's 1533-position model. The record is from RNAcentral.
UACGUAGGGGGCAAGCGUUGUCCGGAUUUAUUGGGCGUAAAGAGCGUGUAGGCGGCCAGGUAGGUCCGUUGUGAAAACUGGAGGCUUAACCUCCAGCUGUCGAUGGAAACCAUCUGGCUAGAGUCCGGAAGAGGAGAGUGGAAUCCUGGUGUAGCGGUGAAAUGCGCAGAUAUCAGGAAGAACACCCGUGGCGAAGGCGGCUCUCUGGGACGGUACUGACGCUGAGACGCGAAAGCGUGGGGAGCGAACAGG